Molecule: ribosomal RNA, 450 nt
Filed under: uncultured bacterium
Lineage: Bacteria
Description: partial 16S ribosomal RNA
Rfam family: Bacterial small subunit ribosomal RNA
Source: RNAcentral
GUGGGGAAUUUUGGACAAUGGGCGCAAGCCUGAUCCAGCAAUGCCGCGUGCAGGAAGAAGGCCUUCGGGUUGUAAACUGCUUUUGUACGGAACGAAACGGUCCGGGUUAAUACCCUGGGCUAAUGACGGUACCGUAAGAAUAAGCACCGGCUAACUACGUGCCAGCAGCCGCGGUAAUACGUAGGGUGCAAGCGUUAAUCGGAAUUACUGGGCGUAAAGCGUGCGCAGGCGGGUUUGUAAGACAGGCGUGAAAUCCCCGGGCUCAACCUGGGAAUUGCGCUUGUGACUGCAAGGCUGGAGUGCGGCAGAGGGGGAUGGAAUUCCGCGUGUAGCAGUGAAAUGCGUAGAUAUGCGGAGGAACACCGAUGGCGAAGGCAAUCCCCUGGGCCUGCACUGACGCUCAUGCACGAAAGCGUGGGGAGCAAACAGGAUUAGAUACCCUUGUAGUCC